Molecule: ribosomal RNA, 762 nt
Filed under: uncultured Acinetobacter sp.
Lineage: Bacteria; Pseudomonadati; Pseudomonadota; Gammaproteobacteria; Moraxellales; Moraxellaceae
Description: bacterial SSU rRNA
Rfam family: Bacterial small subunit ribosomal RNA
Source: RNAcentral
GUAAAGCACUUUAAGCGAGGAGGAGGCUACCGAGAUUAAUACUCUAAGAUAGUGGACGUUACUCGCAGAAUAAGCACCAGCUAACUCUGUGCCAGCAGCCGCGGUAAUACAGAGGGUGCAAGCGUUAAUCGGAUUUACUGGGCGUAAAGCGCGCGUAGGUGGCCAAUUAAGUCAAAUGUGAAAUCCCCGAGCUUAACUUGGGAAUUGCAUUCGAUACUGGUUGGCUAGAGUAUGGGAGAGGAUGGUAGAAUUCCAGGCGUAGCGGUGAAAUGCGUAGAGAUCUGGAGGNAAUACCGAUGGCGAAGGCAGCCAUCUGGCCUAAUACUGACACUGAGGUGCGAAAGCAUGGGGAGCAAACAGGAUUAGAUACCCUGGUAGUCCAUGCCGUAAACGAUGUCUACUAGCCGUUGGGGCCUUUGAGGCUUUAGUGGCGCAGCUAACGCGAUAAGUAGACCGCCUGGGNGANGUANCGGUCGCAAGACUAAAACUCAAAUGAAUUGACGGGGGCCCGCACAAGCGGUGGAGCAUGUGGUUUAAUUCGAUGCAACGCGAAGAACCUUACCUGGUCUUGACAUAGUAAGAACUUUCCAGAGAUGGAUUGGUGCCUUCGGGAACUUACGUACAGGUGCUGCAUGGCUGUCGUCAGCUCGUGUCGUGAGAUGUUGGGUUAAGUCCCGCAACGAGCGCAACCCUUUUCCUUAUUUGCCAGCGGGUUAAGCCGGGAACUUUAAGGAUACUGCCAGUGACAAACUGGAGGAAGGC